Molecule: ribosomal RNA, 2207 nt
Filed under: Clostridioides difficile
Lineage: Bacteria; Bacillati; Bacillota; Clostridia; Peptostreptococcales; Peptostreptococcaceae
Description: partial 23S ribosomal RNA
Rfam family: Bacterial large subunit ribosomal RNA
Source: RNAcentral
GGUCAAGUUAUUAAGGGUGCAGGGCGGAUGCCUUGGCACUAGGAGCCGAUGAAGGACGUGAUAAGCUGCGAUAAGCUUCGGGGAGUUGCACGUAAACUUUGAUCCGAAGAUUUCCGAAUGAGGAAACUCACUUAGAGUAAUGUCUAAGUAUCAUUAAGUGAAUACAUAGCUUAAUGAGGGGAACUCAGGGAACUGAAACAUCUAAGUACCUGAAGGAAGAGAAAGAAAUUCGAUUCCGUAAGUAGCGGCGAGCGAACGCGGAUUAGCCCAAACCAAUAAAGUUUUCUUUAUUGGGGUUGCGGACAUAUCAUAACGAAGAGGUAUCGUAAUUGAAGAGGUUUGGAAAGACCCACCACAGAAGGUAAUAGUCCUGUAUGUUAAACGAGAAGACUUUAGAUAUGAUCCAGAGUACCACGGGACACGUGAAACCCUGUGGGAAGCAGGAGGGACCACCCUCCAAGGCUAAAUACUACCUAGUGACCGAUAGCGUAUAGUACCGUGAGGGAAAGGUGAAAAGAACCCCGGGAGGGGAGUGAAAUAGAACCUGAAACCCUGCACUUACAAGCUGUGGAAGCACAUUUCUUGUGUGACCGCGUACUUUUUGUAGAACGGGCCAACGAGUUACGUUAAGUAGCAAGGUUAAGCACUUAAGGUGCGGAGCCGUAGCGAAAGCGAGUUUUAACUGAGCGUUCAGUUACUUGACGUAGACCCGAAACCGGGCGACCUACCCAUGAGCAGGAUGAAGCGAAAGUAAAAUUUCGUGGAGGUCCGAACCCACGAGCGUUGAAAAGCUCGGGGAUGACUUGUGGGUAGCGGUGAAAUUCCAAUCGAGCCCGGAGAUAGCUGGUUCUCCCCGAAAUAGCUUUAGGGCUAGCCUCAAGGUGAGAGAUACGGAGGUAGAGCACUGAAUGUCCUAGGGGGUAUUGCACCUACCGAAGACUAUCAAACUCCGAAUGCCGUCAUCUUAUACUUGGGAGUCAGACUGUGGGUGAUAAGAUUCAUAGUCGAAAGGGCAACAGCCCAGAUCGUCAGCUAAGGUCCCUAAAUGUAAGUUAAGUGGUAAAGGAUGUGGGAUUGCACAGACAACCAGGAUGUUGGCUUAGAAGCAGCCACUCAUUCAAAGAGUGCGUAAUAGCUCACUGGUCGAGUGAUCCUGCGCCGAAGAUUUCCGGGGCUAAAACUUACUACCGAAGCUACGGCAUCAGUAAUGAUGGGUAGGGGAGCUUCCCAUACGGGUUGAAGCAUGACCGUAAGGACAUGUGGACAGUAUGGGAGUGAGAAUGUUGGCAUGAGUAGCGAGAUGUGGGUGAGAAUCCCACAGGCCGUAAACCCAAGGUUUCCAGGGGAAGGUUCGUCCGCCCUGGGUUAGUCGGGACCUAAGCUGAGGCCGAAAGGCGUAGGUGAUGGACAACAGGUUGAUAUUCCUGUACUACCGAUAACCGUUUGAGAGAAGGGAUGACACAGUAGGAUAAGCUAAGCACACUGUUGGUUAUGUGUGCCCAAGCAUUGAGGCAGUCAAAGUAGGCAAAUCCGCUUUGAUAAUGCUGGGAUGUGAUGGGGAGCGAAAUUUAGUAGCGAAGUAGCUGAUUUCACACUGUCAAGAAAAGUCUCUAUCGAGGUUAAAGGUACCCGUACCGCAAACCGACACAGGUGGGUGAGGAGAGUAUCCUAAGGCCAGCGAGAGAACUGUUGUUAAGGAACUCGGCAAAAUGACCCCGUAACUUAGGGAUAAGGGGUGCCACCAUCAGGUGGCCGCAGAGAAUAGGCCCAAGCGACUGUUUACCAAAAACAUAGGUUUCUGCUAAGUCGCAAGACGAUGUAUAGGAGCUGACGCCUGCCCGGUGCUGGAAGGUUAAGGGGAUCUGUUAGAGCAAUCGAAGCAGUGAACUUAAGCCCCAGUAAACGGCGGCCGUAACUAUAACGGUCCUAAGGUAGCGAAAUUCCUUGUCGGGUAAGUUCCGACCCGCACGAAAGGCGUAACGAUUUGGGCACUGUCUCAACAACAGACUCGGUGAAAUUGUAAUUCCGGUGAAGAUGCCGGAUACCUGCGACAGGACGGAAAGACCCCAUGGAGCUUUACUGUAGCUUGACAUUGGGUCUUGGUACUACAUGUACAGGAUAGGUGGGAGGCUUUGAAACCAGGACGCCAGUUUUGGCGGAGCCAUCCUUGGGAUACCACCCUUGUAGUACUGGGACUCUAACCAUAG